RNAcentral lists this ribosomal RNA (516 nucleotides) under Nematoda environmental sample. RNAcentral describes it as "bacterial SSU rRNA". It matches the Rfam family "Eukaryotic small subunit ribosomal RNA", at positions 58 to 570 of the family's 1831-position model. The record is from RNAcentral. Lineage: Eukaryota; Metazoa; Nematoda.
UCUAAGUAUAAACGAUUUAAUCGUGAAACCGCGAAUGGCUCAUUAUAACAGCUAUAAUUUACUUGAUCUUGACACAAUCCUACUUGGAUAACUGUGGUAAUUCUAGAGCUAAUACAUGCAUUAAAGCUCUGACCUCACGGGAAGAGUGCAUUUAUUAGAACAAAACCAAGCGGCUUCGGCUGUUUCUGGUUGACUCAUAGUAACUGAGCUGAUCGCAUGGUCUUGCACCGGCGACGUGUCUUUCAAGUAUCUGCCGUAUCAACUUUCGAUGGUAGUGUAUCUGACUACCAUGGUGAUCACGCGUAACGGAGAAUAAGGGUUCGGCUCCGGAGAGUUCGCCUGAGAAAUCGCGAACACAUCUAAGGAAGGCAGCAGGCGCGUAAAUUACCCAAUCGUGACUCAGGGAGGUAGUGACAAGAAAUAACCGCCUGGGGGCCCUCGCGGCCUUACGGGACGGCAAUGAGCACAAUUCAAACCCCUUAGCGAGGAACAAUUGGAGGGCAAGUCUGGUGCCAG